This 492-nucleotide ribosomal RNA is filed under the name uncultured bacterium. RNAcentral's name for it is "partial 16S ribosomal RNA". It matches the Rfam family "Bacterial small subunit ribosomal RNA", at positions 29 to 507 of the family's 1533-position model. The record is from RNAcentral.
AGUGAACGCUGGCGGUAGGCCCAACACAUGCAAGUCGAACGGCAGCACAGUAAGAGCUUGCUCUUACGGGUGGCGAGUGGCGGACGGGUGAGGAAUACAUCGGAAUCUACUUUUUCGUGGGGGAUAACGUAGGGAAGCUUACGCUAAUACCGCAUACGACCUACGGGUGAAAGCAGGGGAUCUUCGGACCUUGCGCGAUUGAAUGAGCCGAUGUCGGAUUAGCUAGUUGGCGGGGUAAAGGCCCACCAAGGCGACGAUCCGUAGCUGGUCUGAGAGGAUGAUCAGCCACACUGGAACUGAGACACGGUCCAGACUCCUACGGGAGGCAGCAGUGGGGAAUAUUGGACAAUGGGCGCAAGCCUGAUCCAGCCAUACCGCGUGGGUGAAGAAGGCCUUCGGGUUGUAAAGCCCUUUUGUUGGGAAAGAAAAGCAGCAGGUUAAUACCCCGCUGUUCUGACGGUACCCAAAGAAUAGGCACCGGCUAACUUCGUG